GACUCGUUUUAGGGUUUUAUCAAAUUUCUUCCCUCUCUUCCCGCCUCUUCCCGCCGAUUGCAGGAGUCCCCACUCCCCACUACGAAACUCGCCGGAUUUAUAGAUUCGUUACUGUCCAACUGUGAAGUGUCAACCCACCCCUCUCUGGCUUACAGCCAUUAAUGGUGGAAGCGGCCGAUUAGCUUGUCUAGGUUUCUGUCCAAAAUUUGAAGCCUUCACGUUAGAUCAAGUGCUUCUCCUUUUUUCUUUCAGAUUAUUUGUCUUCCACAGAAAACCCCUUUUCCUUGCGUCUGUUAAAUUUUAAUUUUCUUUAGCAUCUUUUACUUGCAGGAGGCGGAGGUUGUUUGAUUUUCAAUAAUCUCGACCUCUUAACAUGUCGGGGAGGAACCGUGGACCUCCGCUUCCAAUGAAGGGUACGCCACAUGGUGGUCUCCCCCCUAUUCAUGAACUUCCAUUCGGCAGAGGGCUCGGUCCGAUGCCUCAUCCGGCGCUUCUGGAGGAAAUGAGGGAAGCCCAGUUCGGACGGGGUCCCAGGCCGUUGCCUCUUCACCCUGCCAUAAUCGAAGAGAGGCUCGAAGCUCAACAUCAGGAAAUCCAGGGGCUUCUGAUUGAUAAUCAGAGGCUGGCUGCCACCCAUGUCGCGUUAAAGCAGGAAUUGGCUGCUGCCCAGCACGAGCUGCAACGUGUGGCUCAUCUUGCUGGCACCAUGAAUUCUGAGAAGGAAAUCCAGCUCAGAGAAGCCUAUGACAAGUCUAUGAAAAUGGAAUCUGAUCUCCGUGCUGCAGAGUCUAUGAGGGCUGAGCUUCUGCAAGUUCGCGCUGAUAUUCAGAAGCUCACUGCCGCUAGGCAAGAGCUUAUGGCUCAGGUCGAAGCGCUUACUCAAGAUUUGGCUAGAGCUAAUUGUGAUUUGCAGCAGGCACCCGCACUGAAGGCUGAAAUCGAGAGCAUGAAACAGGAUUUGCAACGAGCUAGGGUUGCCAUUGAGUACGAGAAGAAAGGACAUGCUGAAAAUUAUGAACAGGGUCAGGCAAUGGAGAAGAAUCUGAUUGUCAUGGCUCGUGAGGUGGAAAAGAUGCGUGCUGAGAUUGCCAAUGCAGAGAAAAGAGCACGUGCUGCUGCUGCUGUUGGGAACCCCGGUGCAGGUUAUAGUGGGAAUUAUGGUAAUCCUGAUCCUGGAUAUGGGGGAAAUCCUUAUACUGCUGCUUAUGGCAUGGAUCCUGGUAGUGUGGAAGCUGCUGCACAAUAUGGACUUGGACCUGGUUCUUGGAAUGCAUAUGAUAUGCAGCGUGCUCAUGGACGCAGAUAAACUAGUGUGCAUGCCAUGCCAAGUUGUGGGCCCCUCAUUUUGCUCACCCACAUACUGGGGAUGUCUGUGCUUGACCAUAAGUUCUGGUUAUGUCAUGCGCCUCUCAUCUCCUCAAGGUAUGUGUUUCCAUGUGUCUGCUUUCAUUGUUUGUUAUAAUGGAAGUACUCCAACCAUUACAUCUUCCUGCAAACAUGGAAAGGUGAAGCUGAACUGAGUCCCGAUCACCUGCCAACAAAAUAUGUUCCAGCACCCUACCAACAUCCGACACCACACAUCAUGGCGGGUCCUACUUUUAUGUUGGGCCCCAGUUUUAUAGCGAGAUGUGCGGUGUCAGAUAAGUUGGUAGGGUGUUGGAACUUUUUGUUGGCAGGUGAUCUCAAUUCGAACUGAGUGGUGUCUGGUGUGACUGAACUACUUGGUGGGAAGUUCUGACAUGCUUGGAAAAUUGUUGCACUGCCGUUCGAAUCAGCACCAGAAAACUUGAAUUUGGCCAUUGGCACUGCAAAAAACCAUUGUUUACAGUUUGUUUCUUUUACGUGGAAUCGUGUCUCUCUGCCUCUGCUUGUUGCGAGCAUAUUGCUCAGACUCUUUCUGGAACAUGGGAGUUCCCAUUUGUACCUGCCCUGCAACAAGAAGCCAGGGUUGGAGGAAAGUUGUCUCUUGUGAAAUUCAAAAGGGCAAUUUUUUGCUCAGGCUGUCAAUAUUUCUUAUUUGUUUCUUUGUUUUGCAAGGUGUUAUUUUUUUUUCUUGAGGAAUUUUAUGUGGCAAGAGUACAGUUUCCAUCAUGUGGAUUGUGGGUGUUUGUGAAUGGACUGCAUUUACAUUUGCCGGUAUGCCAGACUGCCAGUAUUUGUAGUUAAGUUCUCUUCUGAAGACCUCUCUGAGGGUGUAAGCAAUAGGAUGGUUAGCUUAGUACCUUACUAGAGGAUUAGAAAACGUUCACAAAAAACACCCCAUAUGAUAAAUUUGAAGCAAUACUGAGACAUCAUAAUGUAUGUGUUUGGUAUA
This is a non-coding RNA of Nelumbo nucifera (sacred lotus), 2314 nucleotides long. The record is from RefSeq and is a predicted model, not a curated record. NCBI's taxonomy places the organism in Eukaryota, Viridiplantae, Streptophyta, Magnoliopsida, Proteales, Nelumbonaceae.